GACGAACGCUGGCGGCGUGCUUAACACAUGCCAGUCGAACGGAAGGGCCCUGCUUGCAGGGUACUCGAGUGGCGAACGGGUGAGUAACACGUGGGUGAUCUGCCCUGCACUUCGGGAUAAGCUUGGGAAACUGGGUCUAAUACCGGAUAGGAGCCAUCUUUAGUGUGGUGGUUGGAAAGUUUUUUCGGUGUAGGAUGAGCUCGCGGCCUAUCAGCUUGUUGGUGGGGUAAUGGCCUACCAAGGCGGCGACGGGUAGCCGGCCUGAGAGGGUGUACGGCCACAUUGGGACUGAGAUACGGCCCAGACUCCUACGGGAGGCAGCAGUGGGGAAUAUUGCACAAUGGGCGCAAGCCUGAUGCAGCGACGCCGCGUGGGGGAUGAAGGCCUUCGGGUUGUAAACUCCUUUCGCUAGGGACGAAGCUUUUUUGUGACGGUACCUAGAUAAGAAGCACCGGCUAACUACGUG
RNAcentral lists this ribosomal RNA (466 nucleotides) under uncultured bacterium. Its description in RNAcentral is "partial 16S ribosomal RNA". It matches the Rfam family "Bacterial small subunit ribosomal RNA", at positions 28 to 507 of the family's 1533-position model. The record is from RNAcentral.